AUGGGCGCAAGCCUGAUCUAGCCAUGCCGCGUGUGUGAUGAAGGCCUUAGGGUCGUAAAGCACUUUCGCCAGGGAUGAUAAUGACAGUACCUGGUAAAGAAACCCCGGCUAACUCCGUGCCAGCAGCCGCGGUAAUACGGAGGGGGUUAGCGUUGUUCGGAAUUACUGGGCGUAAAGCGUACGUAGGCGGAUCAGAAAGUAGGGGGUGAAAUCCCAGGGCUCAACCCUGGAACUGCCUCCUAAACUCCUGGUCUUGAGUUCGAGAGAGGUGAGUGG
This 276-nucleotide ribosomal RNA is filed under the name uncultured bacterium. RNAcentral's name for it is "partial 16S ribosomal RNA". It matches the Rfam family "Bacterial small subunit ribosomal RNA", at positions 371 to 664 of the family's 1533-position model. The record is from RNAcentral.